RNAcentral lists this long non-coding RNA (10927 nucleotides) under Solanum lycopersicum (tomato). RNAcentral's name for it is "long non-coding RNA (SLYC_LNC001314)". Lineage: Eukaryota; Viridiplantae; Streptophyta; Magnoliopsida; Solanales; Solanaceae. The record is from RNAcentral.
GGCCAACUCAAAAUAGAAAAUAGUAUAUAUCAGAUAACAUCAUAAAAUCAACUAAUAUUCUUAGCAUGCAGCAUUUACAAUUACCAUAACCCUUGGUUACAACACCAAGCACAUCAAUGAGGACUCACGCCUCCUCAUCAUACUCAUUUGGGAAUCAGGUUCAUUAGAUUGAGUAUAUUAACAUCUUUCAAGAUUUAUUAUCUUUAUUCCUCUCGUGUCGGUACGUGACACUCCGCUCCUCAUAUACUAUCCUGGUGUCGGAACGUGACACCCGAUCCAUAUUCUAUCCUGGUACCGGAACGUGGCACCCGAUCCAUAUACUAUCCUGGUGCCGGAACGUGACACUCGAUCCAUAUACUAUCCCUGGUGUCGGAACGUGACACUCCGAUCCUCAUAUACUAUCCUGGUAUCGGAAUGUGGCACCCGAUCCCCUAAUCUCACUACUUUCGUUCAUCAAGCCUUCUUUUACACUAAGGCAUCAUCAUUAACAAAGUAGAUUAGGGUUUCUCAAGAUUUAGGAUUUAAUAGCUUCAUCAUGAUUAUUUUAUCACAAUUACAUAAUCACAUUCGUGCAAGCAUACAAUUAAGCAUAUAGAAGGGUUUACGAAACUACCCAUACAUAUCAUUCGCUAUUAAGAGUUUACUACGAAUAGUAUAAAAACCAUAACCUACCUCCACCGAAGAUUCGUGAUCAAGCAAGCAAUUUUCUCAAGGCUUUGUUUUCUCUUCGUUUCCCUCUUGUCUCGAUCGAUCCUCUUUCCUUUACCCUAAUUAGCAUAUAAUUAAGUAUAAAGAAUGAUGAAUUAACCCACUAAUUAACUCAAGGUUACCUCUUUUUGCCCCCAAAUAAUUGAGUUAUUAAUAUUAAACCACUAACUUCAUAAUUAUAAGCCGGAAUAGUCCAAAACGCCCCUUAAAAUAAUUACAGAAAUCCGACCCUGCCUGGGAUUAAGCAGCUUGUGACGGCCCGUCGUGCCUGCGACGGUCCGUCCUGCUGCUCCGUCACAGAGUUCAGAGACUCAAUUCCCUUAAAGAGUCUGUGACGGUCUGUCACGCCUGUGACGGUCCGUCUUGUUUUUCCGUUACGAAGUUCAGAGAGUCGAUUUCAGUACCCAUUUUUUAGAAUUUUUAAGUAAUUUGAAACGAGACCCCCUCGACGGUCCGUCGUGCCCAUGACGGUCCGUCGUGGGAUCCGUCGACUCAGCCAGUUUUUCCAGAAAUAAAAUCUCCUGCUCAAAACGACUAAACAGGUCGUUACAAUAGAUACCAAUUUACCCAUCGUUUGUCCUCGAACGAUCAUAAGAAGAAAAACAAGGGCGAAAAGGAGUACCUGAAUCUGUAGACAGGUGUGGGUAUCUUUCUUGCAUAUCUGCCUCCUUCUCCCAAGUGGCUUCUUUGACUGGUCGAUUCUUCCAUUGAACUUUGAUGGAUGCAAACUCCCUUGACCUCAGCUUGCGGACUUCCUAUCCAGAAUAGCAACAGGUUCCUCCUCAUAAGACAAAUUAUCAUCAAGCAAAACUGAAUCCCAACGGAUAAUGUAGUUUCCAUCCCCAUGGUAUCUUUUCAACAUGGACACAUGAAAUACCGGAUGCACUCCGGACAGCCCUGGAGGCAAGGCUAACUCAUAAGCCACCUCCCCUACUCGCUUAAGUACUUCAAAGGGACCAAUAUACCUUGGGCUUAGCUUACCCCUUUUACCAAACCGCAUCACCCCUUUCAUGGGUGAAACCUUCAGCAGGCUUGCUCACCCUCCAUAAACUCCAAGUCUCUAACCUUGCGAUCCGCAUAUUCCUUUUGCUUACUUUGCGCCGCUAGAAGCUUUUCUUGAAUAGAUUUCACUUUAUCUAACGAUUCCCUCAGAAGGUCAGUACCCCAAGGUCUAACCUCAAAUGCAUCAAACCACCCAAUGGGAGACCUACAUCUUCUCCCAUACAAUGCCUCGAAUGGGGCCAUAUCAAUACUUGAGUGAUAGCUAUUGUUGUAUGAGAACUCUGCUAAGGGUAAGAAGUUAUCCCAAUGACCACAAAGUCUAUCACACAUGCACGAAGCAUAUCCUCCAACACUUGAAUCGUUCGCUCAGACUGACCAUCGGUCUGAGGAUGGAACGCAGUACUAAGGUCCAACCUAGUACCCAAUUCCGCAUGCAAUGUUUUCCAAAACUUAGAAGUAAACUGCGUACCUCUAUAUGAUAUAAUGGAAAGUGGAACUCCAUGCAAUCGCACAACUUCCGAAAUGUAAAGUUUGGCUAACUUCUCUGCAUUGUAAGUCACCUUGACCGGGAUGAAGUGAGUCAAACUUCCCCAAUGUCUUUGGAAGACCAACCACGAAGUCCAUUGCAAUUCUCUCCCACUUCCAUUCAGGAAUGGGCAUUCUCUGAAGUGUUCCUCCGGGCCUCUGGUGUUCAUACUUUACUUGCUGACAAUUUGUACAUUUGGCAAUGAAAUCAACAAUGUCGCGCUUCAUUCUACUCCACCAAAAGUGUUGCUUUAGGUCACGGUACAUCUUGGUUGAACCAGGAUGUAUAGAAUAUCCGGAACUAUGAGCCUCUGUGAGAAUAGUGUGGAUCAAAUCAUCAACACGGGGCACACAUACCCUUCCCUUAAUUCUCAAAACACCUUCUUCAUCCAUUAUUGAUUCUUUAGCCUCUCCUCGCAACACCAUAUCCCGAAUUCGGCUUAAUUUCUCAUCGUCAAACUGUUUUCCCUUGAUCUUGUCAAGAAAAGAAGAUCUCGCCUCCACACUGGCCAGAAAUCCUCCCUUCUCAUUUACUUCUAACCUCAUAAAGUCGUUAGCCAGAGUCUGAAUCUCUCUAGCCAAUGGGCGUCUAGAAACUUGUAAGUGGGCUAAACUACCCAUGCUCCCUGCUUUUCUACUUAAGGCGUCUGCCACAACAUUAGCCUUUCCCGAAUGAUACAAAAUAGUGAUGUCGUAGUCCUUCAGUAGUUCCAUCCAUCUCCUCUGUCUCAAAUUCAAAUCUUUUUGAGUAAAGACAUACUGUAGGCUACGAUGAUCUGUAUAGACCUCACACUUAACCCCAUAUAAAUAAUGUCUCCAUUGCUUUAAUGCAAACACUACCGCAGCCAAUUUCAAAUCAUGGGUCAGGUAAUUGCGUUCGUGCACCUUCAAUUGCCUUGAAGCAUAAGCAAUUACAUUCUUCUCUUGCAUUAGUACUGCACCCAAACCAGAAUAGGAUGCAUCACAAUAAACAAUGAAGUUCUUACCUUCCACGGGCAAGGUGAGAAUUGGUGCAGUGGUCAACAAAGUCUUGAGCUUCUAAAAGCUUUCUUCACACUCGUCCGACCAUACAAAUGGAACAUUCUGCUUAGUCAAGUUCGUCAAUUGGGAAGCAAUGGAAGAGAAUCCCUUGACAAAUCGAUGGUAAUAGCUAGCUAAACCAACAAAGCUCCUUAUUUCUGACACAUUAGUAGGUCUUACCCAAUUCUUCACUGUUUCAAUCUUAGAAGGAUCCACCAUCACGCCCUCCUUAGACACCACGUGCCCCAAGAAGGACACUGAAUCUAGCCAAAACUCACACUUGGAGAAUUUGGCAUAGAGCUUCUUCUCUCUCAGCAUUUCCAGUACCAUUCUCAAAUGCUCCUCAUGUUCUUUCUUGCUCUUUGAGUAUAUCAGUAUAUCAUCAAUAAAUACGAUCACAAAGAGAUCCAAAUAUGGCUUAAAAAUCCCGUUCAUCAAGCUCAUGAAAGCAGCAGGGGCAUUCGUAAGACCAAAAGACAUCACUACAAACUCGUAAUGCCCAUACCUGGUCCGAAAAGCAGUCUUUGGCACAUCCGUUGCUCGUAUUUUCAAUUGAUGAUAACCGGAUCUCAAGUCAAUCUUAGAGAAGACACAAGCACCUUGUAACUGAUCGAACAAGUCAUCAAUGCGAGGAAUGGGAUACUUGUUCUUAAUAUUUACCUUGUUCAACUGUCUGUAGUCUAUGCACAUCCGAAAACUCCCAUCCUUUUUCUUCACAAAUAAUACCGGAGCACCCCAAGGAGAUGCACUUGGUCUAAUAAAGUCUUUGCUUAGCAAAUCUUGAAGUUGUGACUUUAACUCUCUUAACUCCACAGGAGCCAUUCUAUAAGGGGGUAUAGAAAUGGGGCGAGUACCAGGUUCAAGAUCGAUGCAGAAGUCAAUAUCUCUAUCCGGUGGCAUACCAGGAAGGUCUGCAGGAAACAUAUCUAAAAAUUCGCGGACUAUCGAAACCGACUCAAUUGAAGGUACUUGGGUAGUGUCAUUCCUGAGAUGUGCCAAGAAAGCUAGACAACCCUUACUAACCAUUUUCUUAUCACGAAGAAAGGAGACGAUACGAACCGGAUUGGAAGUGUAGUCGCCCUCCCACACUAACGGAUCUGUCCCAGGCUUGGCUAACGUCACUGUUUUAGCAUUACAAUCCAAGAUCGAAAAAUUCGGAGAAAGCCAAGUCAUACCCAGAAUUACAUCAAAAUCAACAAUUUCUAAGAUAACCAAGUCUAAAUAAGUAUUGUUCCCCACAAAAUUCACCAAACAAGACCUAUAUAUCCUUUCAACUAUUACAGACUCACCCACCGGAGUAGACACACGAAUAGGUAUGCCAAGCAAUUCAUAAUGUAAAUUAAGACCAUUAGCAAAUGAGGAAGAUACAUAUGAAAAUGUGGAGCCAAGAUCAAAUAAUACAGAAUCCAUGCAAUCACAAAUCAAAAGAUUACCUGUGAUAACAACAUCCGAUGUCUCCGCUUCAGACUGCCCAGGGAAGGCGUAACAAUGGGCCCUGUCACCUGUUUGUCCGUUGCCCCUACCAUGUUGUGCUGUAGUGGCUACAGUUUGCCCAUCACCCCGGCCGUUUUGGUGACCACCAUUACCUCGACCACCACGUCCUCCAGAAUGACGGCCUCUUCCAUGACCACCUCUACCUCUGACUAUGGGAGGUCUGUAAUUCUGUUUUGGACAAUACCUCUUGAUGUGUCCAGUCUCCCCACAUCCAUAACAUUCUCUGGAUUCAAGCAUUGGUCUCUGUGAGAAUGACGAAGUCUGGGAAUAACCUCCAACCUCAGAGAAAUGUUGACCGGUCUGAGGUGGACCCCCAACUACAGUCUGUAGUGAGGACUGAAUUGGUCGGACUGAGUAACCUCCUGAACACUGUCCUCUGGAGUAAGAACCAUUAAACUCACCUCCCUUUCGAAACCUUUUUGAUGUCAAUGCCAUGGUGAAGUCAUCUGGCUUCACUCCUUCCACCUCUAUCACGAAGUCCACCACUUCUUGAAAGGAUUUUGCCGUAGCCGCUACCUGUAAGGCUGAAAUCCGCAAUUCUGACCUCAACCCCUUCACAAAACGGCGAAUCCGCUCUUGUGGACUGAAACAAAGUUGGGUGGCAUACCUGGAUAAUGCACGAAACUUAGCCUCAUAUGCCGUAACCGACAUCCUACCUUGCUCUAGGCUCAAGAACUCAUCUCUUUUCUUAUCCCUCAAAGUCCGGGGGAUAUACUUCUCCAUAAACAAGCUAGAGAAUGAUGCCCAAGUCAUAGGUGGUGCCUCUGUUGGUUGACACUCAACAUGCGACCGCCACCAUAUUUUGGCGUUCCCUUGAAACUGAUAAGUCAUAAACUCAACACCAAACCGUUCUACUAUACCCAUCUUGUGUAGUAGCUCAUGACAGUCAACUAGAAAAUCGUAGGCAUCCUCAGAUUCAGCACCCUUGAAGACUGGAGGUUUCAAUUUCAAGAACUUACUGAAAAGUUCAUGCUGAUCAUUUGUCAUUAUCGACCUUGUAGUCAGACGAGGAAACGUGCCUAUUUCCAAUGAGGCAUCCAUGCGGGGAGCCAUAGUAGCCGCAUGUUGUACCUCCGAAACCUGAGGUGCUGGUGCAGAAAACAGUGGAGGUGUCUGACCUUGAUCAGAUAACCCGCUAAGAUAAGAAAGAACCUGAUUGAUCAUCUCUGGGGUAGGUUGGGGUGGAAAUUUCUCAUUCUGUACUUGCUCAUUUUCCCCAUCCUUACCCUCUCUUACUACUUCCUCAGUCGGUGGAGGAGUCACCACCCUAGUACCAGAUGGGCCAGGCGUUCGUCCUCUUCCUCUAGAGGACGUCCUCCCGCGACCUCUACCGCGGUCUCUUGCCACUGCUCCUCUUUGAGCUACAGUCUCAGUGGCUGGCUCAGAUGCAUCUUGUCUUGCUGAUGUUGAUGUUGGCGCGGUUGUUGUUGCUCUAGUUCUAACCAUCUGCGAAAUAGAGUGAAGAUGGUCAGAUACCAAUUUGUAUCACCUAGAUACCAAUUGGAUCCAAGUAAUAGCACGAAAGAAAGAAAGAAAGAAUGAAAUUUUCCUAAAGUCUUAUAGCCUCUCAAAGAAAAGUAAAGGCAUCCCCCUACCGUUCCUUAAGACUCUACUAGACUCGUUCUUGUGUGAUGAGACCAACGAACCUAAUGCUCUGAUACCAAGUUUGUCACGACCCAAAUCGGGUCGCGACUGGCACCCACACUUACCCUCCUAUGUGAGCGAACCAACCAAUCUAAACCUUAACAUUUCAACAUAAUAUCAACAGAAAGUAAUGCGGAAGACUUAAACUCAUAAAUAAAAACCAAUUCAAUAACUUCUAAAAACUCAACAACUAUUAUUAUCCCCAAAAUCUGGAAGUCAUCAUCACAAGAACAUCUACUUCAAAUUACUAAAUCUAAGAGUAUCUAAGAAGCUAAAAUACAUAAACAGCUAGUCCAUGCCGGAACUUCAAGGCAUCAAGACAUGAAGAAGAAGAUCCAGUCCAAGCUAGAAGCGUUAGCUCACCCUGAAAUCCGAUGUAAUGAAGACUGGCUAGAGUUGCGGUUGAGUUGAAGACGACGGUACGUUUGCUGUACUCCACAAAUAACAAAGAAAGAAACAACAAGUAGGGGUCAGUACAAACACAAGUACUGAGUAGGUAUCAUCGGCCAACUCAAAAUAGAAAACAGUAUAUAUCAGAUAACAUCAUAAAAUCAACUAAUAUCCUUAGCAUGCAACAUUUACAAUUACCAUAACCCUUGGUUACAACACCAAGCACAUCAAUGAGGACUCACGCCUCCUCAUCAUACUAAUUUGGGAAUUAGGUUUAUUAGAUUGAGUAUAUUAACAUCUUUCAAGAUUCAUUAUCUUUAUUCCUCUCGUGUCGGUACGUGACACUCCGCUCCUCAUAUACUAUCCUGGUGUCGGAACGUGACACCCGAUCCAUAUUUUAUCCUGGUACCGGAACGUGGCACCCGAUCCAUAUACUAUCCUGGUGCCGAAACGUGACACUCGAUCCAUAUACUAUCCUAGUGUCGGAACGUGAUACUCCGAUCCUCAUAUACUAUCCUGGUACCGGAACGUGGCACCCGAUCCCCUAAUCUCACUACUUUCAUUCAUCAAGCCUUCUUUUACACUAAGGCAUCAUCAUUAACAAAGUAGAUUAGGGUUUCUCAAGAUUUAGGAUUCAAUAGUUUUAUCAUGCUUAUUUUAUCACAAUUACAUAAUCACAUUCGUGCAAGCAUACAAUUAAGCAUAUAGAAGGGUUUACAAUUCUACCCAUACAUAUCAUUCGCUAUUAAGAGUUUACUACGAAUAGUAUAAAAACCAUAACCUACCUCCACCGAAGAUUCGUGAUCAAGCAAGCAAUUUUCUCAAGGCUUUGUUUUCUCUUCGUUUCCCUCUUGUCUCGAUCGAUCCUCUCUCUCUCUCUUCUUGUUCUUUCUAUUUUUCUUAUUCAAACCCUCUUUCCUUUACCCUAAUUAGCAUAUAAUUAAGUAUAAAAUAAUGAUGAAUUAACCCACUAAUUAACUCAAGGUUACCUCUUUUUGCCCCCAAGUAAUUGAGUUAUUAAUAUUAAACCACUAACUUCAUAAUUAUAAGCCGGAAUAGUCCAAAACGCCCCUUAAAAUAAUUACAGAAAUCCGACCCAGCCUGGGAUUACGCAGCUUGUGACGGCCCGUCGUGCCUGCGACGGUCCGUCCUGCUGCUCCGUCACAGAGUUCAGAGACUCAAUUCCCUUAAAGAGUCUGUGACGGUCCGUCCUGCUAUUCCGUUACGAAGUUCAGAGAGUCAAUUUCAGUACCUAUUUUUCAGAAUUUCUAAGUGUUUUGAAAUGAGACCCCCUCGACGGUCCGUCGUGCCCAUGACGGUCCGUCGUGGGAUCCGUCGACUCAGCCAGUUUUUCCAGAAAUAAAAUCUGCUGCUCAAAACGACUAAACAGGUCGUUACAAUAAUUAUCUAACUGUAAAAAAAUAUGAAAGGUUGUUUUUUCAAACCUUAUCAUUAGUAAUAUACUACUGCCAUAAAACUAUAUGCUUUAUAUAUACUAGAUAAGUAUUGCCCAGGCGGAGAACAUGCCAAAUAUGAUAUAUAAUUUGACCUGGUAAUCCUCUAUUAUAGAAAGAAAUUUCAUUCACUUUAAGAUAACUUGAAUCCUAAAUAAUUAUAGAAAGAAAUUUCAGUCACUUUAAGAUAACUUGAAUCCUAAAUAACAAUUGUUACUUACAAAUAAUCAUAAUUUUAGAAACUAUUUACAGUAUGCUCAAUUCCAUAGCUACGUCGUAAUUUAACAUAAAAUCAUAACACACAAUUUUAUAACACGUACAUUCAAGUUUAGUAAAUAUUGCUCCUUUCUAGAAAUUAUUUUGAGAUGUGUACUUUAACAUAAAAGCAACACACAAUUUUAUAACACUUGGUAAAUUUUGCUACUUUCUAGACAUUAUUUUUAGGAUGACAACAUCUUUAGUAUAAUAAUUUAUUGAUGAGACAUUUUUGACAAAAGAUGAUAUAGAAUGAUAUGAAAAAUUUGAUAAGACCUAAUCCAAUCCGACCAUCAGAGAGUUGUUUCAUUAUGUGUAUUUUUUUUAUUUCAGUUAUGCAAGUCGAACCAUGAUAUAAUCUGAAAUUUAAAACCUCAAGGACAUUAUAUGAAUACACAUAAAUAUAUAAAAUAUUUAAUGAGUUAAUGCAUAUUAAAAAUAAAAAAAGCAAAGACAAAAUUUGAUGUUAGAAAUAAAAUAUAAGAAAGCCAUUAUAUAAUGGGAUCAGAUACAUAUUGAAAAUUCAAGGACAAGAUCAAAGAAAGCAGACAGGAAAAAGCUAAAGAAAUUAUAUAAGGUUUUUCAAUGGACCAAAACACUGCACUUCUUUUAGCAUGAUAUAUUUAUUCAAAGGGAAAAUGCACAAUACCCCCUCAAUCUAUGCCGAAAUUUCAGAGACAUAUUCAUACUAUACUAAGAUCCUAUAAUCCCCCUGAAAUUAUUUUACAAAUAAUUUUUUACCCUUUUUCGGCCUACGUGAUACUAGCUUGAAAGAAAAAGUCAACCAGCGUUGGCCUCACAAGACAAUGCCACGUAGACCGAAAAGGGGUAGAAAAUUAUUAAUAAAAUAAGUUCAGAGGGGUAAUAGAUUGAGGGGGUAUUUGUGCAUUAUCCCUUAUUUAAAUUACUAUUUUAUUAAGUUGGACAACCCAACAACAAAACAAUAGAAAAUGCAAAACCGUGACGAUUAAUCACGUCCAGGCAUUGGUGACAAAAUUAGUAAGUAAGAGAGGGAAAAAACAUAGGAUGUUCCAAUAAAAUUUACAACGCUUAAAGUUGAACUAUUAGUGCUAAAGCAAAGUAUAAUUGAAAUGUUAUCCUUAAACAAAGUAUAAUUGAAAUAUUAUCCUUAAACAUAGAAAAUUCUACUUAACUUAAAAGCAAAUUGAUACCUGCAUUCUUCAUGAGGAGGAGUAAAAUUAUCAACUGAAAUGGAGAAUUGACUUGUCCUAGUCUAUUAUUUCAACGAUUGCUGAUAUGUUGAUUGUCAAGAGAUAUUCAAUGAGAAGAACAUAAGAGAAGAAAGAUCAAUAACUAGUUCUAUAGUUCAAAUGACAGUAAGUUUCUUUAUCGAGAAGAUAUUACAAUCUAUCCUUAACAAAUGAACUUAAAAUCAAUCACAUUUACAAAUAUGUGUAUUUUCUUUGGCAGACACGUUCUUAAGAACCAUCAACGGGUCAAAGUUUAGAAUUAUUCCCUCUUGUUAUUCCUCACUUAUCGAAAAGAUAGAAAAUAUUAAAGUCGAAUUGAUGAAUUUAUAGUAGCUUGGAUUCUCAAAUAACACGAGUGGCUUUGUUUAUAUUAACAAUAUAUAUUUCCUUAACACGAGUUUUACACAUAUGUUAUUACCAUUGACCCAAUAUGCAAAGAAAGUGUUGUUCAAAAACAUCCCUAAAUGAUGUCUUAAACAUAAAUUUCAUCAUUCAUUAUCCUUGUUAAGGACAAACAUCUCGGAAAUAAGCAAAUUACAUCCAACAACCUAUCUAAUGCUAAUAUCAACAAUUUGCCCAACCAUACUUUGCACGUAGAGCCUAUCAAACUCCAUUAGAAAGGAAAACAUCCAUUGAAACCUAUUAAUCAAGUUUUCAUAUGAUUUUUCUCAUUGAGAAAGCAAAUGAAAAAGUUAGGCCUUUUAUGUUUUUCUUUUGUUCUGUUAAAUUGUCGUCUCUCGACCUUUAGAAUUUGAUAUAUUAUGUAAAUAGCCAAAUAAUAGAAUCAUCAACAUAUAACUGUAAAGACAAGUAAUAAGCUUGAUUAGGCAUUUCUAGCAAAAAAUUUCAAAAGUAAAAUCAUGAAAGAAAACGAAUACAUUAUAGGCAUUUCAAAACUAAAUCAAAGAGUCUAUUCAAGCAUUUUACUAAAACAUAUAGUAGGAAUUUCUUAGUCGUACUUGAUGAGUAAAGCAUAACAAUAACAUGGCCAUUGGAACACAGAGUGAGCAAGAUUGAAAAAAAGAGGAACAUAUAAGCAAUAUUCAGAGAAUUUUAGGGAAAGAAAAAUCACAUUGUGAUUUAACUUUCAAAUUUCAUCAACACAAUUGUUUUUCUUAAAGCUCAUAAGAAAAUCAAGGAGAAAACAUAUAAAGGAGAAAACCUAAGGAAUGAAUUUAAAAUAAUUGAAGAGGAAGACCCAAUUGUUUUUCUUAAAGCUCAUAA